RNAcentral lists this ribosomal RNA (524 nucleotides) under uncultured bacterium. RNAcentral's name for it is "partial 16S ribosomal RNA". It matches the Rfam family "Bacterial small subunit ribosomal RNA", at positions 28 to 523 of the family's 1533-position model. The record is from RNAcentral.
GACGAACGCUGGCGGCGUGCCUAAUACAUGCAAGUCGAGCGCAGGAAGCCGUCUGAACCCUUCGGGGGGACGACGGUGGAAUGAGCGGCGGACGGGUGAGUAACACGUAAAGAACCUGCCCACGGGUCUGGGAUAACCACGAGAAGUCGGGGCUAAUACCGGACGGGUCAUCGGACCGCAUGGUCCGAGGAUGAAAGGCGCUCCGGCGUCGCCCGUGGAUGGCUUUGCGGUGCAUUAGCUAGUUGGUGGGGUAACGGCCCACCAAGGCGACGAUGCAUAGCCGACCUGAGAGGGUGAUCGGCCACACUGGGACCGAGACACGGCCCAGACUCCUACGGGAGGCAGCAGUAGGGAAUCUUCCACAAUGGACGAAAGUCUGAUGGAGCAACGCCGCGUGAACGAUGAAGGCCCUCGGGUCGUAAAGUUCUGUUGUAAGGGAAGAACAAGUGCCGCAGGCAAUGGCGGCACCUUGACGGUACCUUGCGAGAAAGCCACGGCUAAUUACGUGCCAGCAGCCGCCGUAA